GUAACCUGCCCUUAACUCUGGGAUAAGCCUGGGAAACUGGGUCUAAUACCGGAUAUGACUCCUCAUCGCAUGGUGGGGGGUGGAAAGCUUUUUGUGGUUUUGGAUGGACUCGCGGCCUAUCAGCUUGUUGGUGAGGUAAUGGCUCACCAAGGCGACGACGGGUAGCCGGCCUGAGAGGGUGACCGGCCACACUGGGACUGAGACACGGCCCAGACUCCUACGGGAGGCAGCAGUGGGGAAUAUUGCACAAUGGGCGCAAGCCUGAUGCAGCGACGCCGCGUGAGGGAUGACGGCCUUCGGGUUGUAAACCUCUUUCAGUAGGGAAGAAGCGAAAGUGACGGUACCUGCAGAAGAAGCGCCGGCUAACUACGUGCCAGCAGCCGCGGUAAUACGUAGGGCGCAAGCGUUAUCCGGAAUUAUUGGGCGUAAAGAGCUCGUAGGCGGUUUGUCGCGUCUGCCGUGAAAGUCCGGGGCUCAACUCCGGAUCUGCGGUGGGUACGGGCAGACUAGAGUGAUGUAGGGGAGACUGGAAUUCCUGGUGUAGCGGUGAAAUGCGCAGAUAUCAGGAGGAACACCGAUGGCGAAGGCAGGUCUCUGG
Molecule: ribosomal RNA, 598 nt
Filed under: Actinobacteridae bacterium 07-03PB
Lineage: Bacteria; Bacillati; Actinomycetota; Actinomycetes
Description: bacterial SSU rRNA
Rfam family: Bacterial small subunit ribosomal RNA
Source: RNAcentral